RNAcentral lists this non-coding RNA (28 nucleotides) under Bombyx mori (domestic silkworm). The record is from RNAcentral. Lineage: Eukaryota; Metazoa; Arthropoda; Insecta; Lepidoptera; Bombycidae.
UAUUGGACGGCAAUAAAAAGUUGAUGGC